Molecule: long non-coding RNA, 2129 nt
Organism: Manis pentadactyla (Chinese pangolin)
Lineage: Eukaryota; Metazoa; Chordata; Mammalia; Pholidota; Manidae
Exons: 3
Source: RefSeq, a predicted model, not a curated record
CCAAGACAGUGUCCUUUUAGAACCCAAGGCACAGGAGUUGGAUUUAAGAGGAAAAGGCAAUAGAAGAAAAUAACAGCAAAGAUACGUGUGUCUGCAGGAAGUGUUUGCAGAACAUUGUUAAACAUUAUUCAGAGGUUCCCAAUUUCUGAGGUACAGAAAAAGCAGAAGUGUUACAUUGUGGAAGAGUGCUAACAUAAGCCAAUGUCAACUUGGCAGGGGCCCAGCGUGGAAGCCAUAGUGGAAGAGCUUCCAGAGUUCAGCCCCAGGAAAUUCAGCUGGUCCCGAGUGCCAGGCUGAGGAAAUGGGUCCACAGACACUGCUGCUCAGGAGGUACCUGGAGAUACUGGCACCGAGACGGCCCUUCCCCGAGUGUGGGCCUCCGCCAGCACCCUCUCACGGAACAGGCCUGGAAGGACCGUAGAGGCCCUGCGCGGCACCUCUGGGCCUGGCUGGCACUUCUCUUCUCUGCCCUGCGUCCUUCUUCGCCCCUGCUCUCUAGGAAUUCUGAUCUGUGAGGCUAGAGAAAGUGAUUGUUAGGCCCUGCCCUGCAGUGGACUGGAACCCCCAGAGCAGUGGCUCCAAGCUCUUGAAAUCACACACCUGUGGCAGGAAAAUGUUUGAGGAUAUACUCCUAAUGUGUACUUCUGUGUACUAUGUACAUUAUAAACACAUAUCAAACUUUUUAAAUAAUUUAUAUAAUUUUAAAGGAUGGAAGAAAAAACAAUUAUAAAUUUGUUUUUAAUCUUAUUUUAUUCAAGGUAUAUAUGUGAUUGAAUAUGUUCUUUUUGAAAAAAAUCUUGGUUUAUCACUUUCCGGUACAGUAAUUCCAAAGUAUGUACUACGAGUGUGUAUUUUAGUACUUCAUUUUAAUAGUGUCUCUUGCUGCAGAGCUCCUCACAAAGAAAGGUAGAUUUAAAUGGAACAUUAGCAUCUUUGUGCUUAUGAAAAUCAUGAAUCCUGUUUUUCAGUUUAUCUGCUUCCAGAUUUCCAGGUAUCUGCUGAACUUCACAGGCGCUCUUGCAAACUUUCAGAGAAGUGUUUUUAAUUUAACAAGGCUUCAAACCCCUCUGAAAUUCAUUGUUUGGAAUGCUUUUAAACAGAUUAGGAAAUUGUUUUAUAAUUCCUAAAAUUGUACAAAUAUAGCAGUACAGUGUGGAGAUACAUGAGAUUUUCAGAGAUGGCUUAUUAUUUUGAAACUUUUGUUGGCUUUUUAAAUAUUUAUUUGUGAUUGUACAUGGUAAGAUUCACUCUUUGGCAGAUAGCCCUAAGAGUUUUGACAAACACACAGUCUUGUAACCACCCCCAUGAUCAAGAAAACAGAACAGUUCCCUCUGUAUUUGAGCUCCCUCCUUAUCCAUAACCUUGGCAGCCGCUGAUCUUUAUUCUUAACCUAGUGUAUGUCAAAUUCAUCCAUGUUGUUAAGUGUAUUAAUUGUUUAUCCCUUUGUAUGACAGAGUACUGUUACAUGGAUAUAUCAGUUGUUUAUCCAUUCACCAGUUGAGGGACAUUUAGGUUGUUUCCAGUUUUGGACGAUUAUGAAUAAAGCUGUUAAAAACAUUCUCAUACAGGUUUUAUGUGAACAUAGGUUUUCAUUUCACUUGGGUAAAUGAAACUGCCAAAUUCGUUCUUGUUCAAAGUGCUAUGCUGUUGAGUCCCAGUUGCUACACUUUCUUGACAGCAGUUGGUUUUAUCUGUUAAAAAGAAAAUUUUAACCAUUCUCCUAGGUGUGCAGUGAUACCUCAUUCUGUUUUUAAUUUGGAUUUCCCGUAAUGACUAGUGAUGUCAAAUGUCUUUUCAUGUGCCUAUCUGCCAUCUGUUUAUCUUUGGUGAAGUCUGUUCAAAUCUGCUGCCCAUUUAAAACAUUUUUUCUUCUUGUUGAGUUUUGAGAGUUCUUUAUCUAUUUCAGAUACAAGUCCUUUGUCAAAUAAGUGAUUUGCAGACAUCUUCUCCCAGUCUGUGGCUUAUCUUUUCAUUCUCUUAAUAGUGUCUUUUUCAGAGCAAAAGUUAAAAUUUUCAUGAAGUCCAAUUUAGCAGUUUUUUUCUUUUAUAAAUUGUGUUUUUGGUGUAGUAUCCAAGAAAUCUUUUCUAACACAAAGUUCUAAAGAUUUUUCUCCUGUACUUUCUUCUAA